GCCUACAUGAAGUCGGAAUCGCUAGUAAUCGCGGAUCAGCAUGCCGCGGUGAAUACGUUCCCGGGCCUUGUACACACCGCCCGUCACACCAUGAGAGUUUGUAACACCCAAAGCCGGUGGGUAACCUUUUGGAGCCAGCCGUCUAAGGUGGGACAGAUGAUUGGGGUGAAGUCGUAACAAGGUACC
This 186-nucleotide ribosomal RNA is filed under the name uncultured bacterium. RNAcentral's name for it is "partial 16S ribosomal RNA". It matches the Rfam family "Bacterial small subunit ribosomal RNA", at positions 1314 to 1500 of the family's 1533-position model. The record is from RNAcentral.